Molecule: ribosomal RNA, 281 nt
Filed under: uncultured Staphylococcus sp.
Lineage: Bacteria; Bacillati; Bacillota; Bacilli; Caryophanales; Staphylococcaceae
Description: partial 16S ribosomal RNA
Rfam family: Bacterial small subunit ribosomal RNA
Source: RNAcentral
CUCCUUUGACGUUAGCGGCGGACGGGUGAGUAACACGUGGGUAACCUACCUAUAAUACUGGGAUAACUUCGGGAAACCGGAGCUAAUACCGGAUAAUAUUUCGAACCGCAUGGUUCGAUAGUGAAAGGUGGUUUUGCUAUCACUUAUAGAUGGACCCGCGCCGUAUUAGCUAGUUGGUAAGGUAACGGCUUACCAAGGCGACGAUACGUAGCCGACCUGANAGGGUGAUCGGCCACACUGGAACUGAGACACGGUCCAGACUCCUACGGGAGGCAGCAGUA